UGGGGGAUAUUGCACAAUGGGCGAAAGCCUGAUGCAGCGACGCCGCGUGGGGGAUGAAGGCCUUCGGGUUGUAAACUUCUUUUGCUCUGAACAAGGCGCACCAUGGGGUGUGUUGAGUGUAGGGGUUGAUUAGCGCCGGCUAACUACGUGCCAGCAGCCGCGGUAAAACGUAGGGCGCGAGCGUUGUCCGGAAUUAUUGGGCGUAAAGGGCUUGUAGGUGGCUGGUUGCGUCUGUCGUGAAAGCUCAUGGCUUAACUGUGGGUUUGCGGUGGGUACGGGCUGGCUUGAGUGCAGUAGGGGAGGCUGGAAUUCCUGGUGUAGCGGUGGAAUGCGCAGAUAUCAGGAGGAAUACCGGUGGCGAAGGCGGGUCUCUGGGCUGUUACUGACACUGAGGAGCGAAAGCAUGGGGAGCGAACAGG
RNAcentral lists this ribosomal RNA (419 nucleotides) under bacterium. RNAcentral's name for it is "partial 16S ribosomal RNA". It matches the Rfam family "Bacterial small subunit ribosomal RNA", at positions 355 to 776 of the family's 1533-position model. The record is from RNAcentral.